GACAGAGGUGGCGACCGUUGUUCGGAAUCACUGGGCAUAAAGCGCGUGUAGGCGGCAUCGUAAGUCGGGUGUGAAAUCCCUCGGCCCACCGAGGAAUUGCGCCCGAAACUACCUUAGCUUGAGGACCAGAGGGGAGCCUGGGAAUUCCUGGUGGAGCGGUGAAAUGCGUUGAUAUCAGGAGGAACACCGGCGGCGAAGGCGAGGCUCUGGCUGGUUACUGACGCUGAGACGCG
RNAcentral lists this ribosomal RNA (233 nucleotides) under uncultured bacterium. RNAcentral's name for it is "partial 16S ribosomal RNA". It matches the Rfam family "Bacterial small subunit ribosomal RNA", at positions 524 to 755 of the family's 1533-position model. The record is from RNAcentral.